AACGAACGCUGGCGGCAGGCUUAACACAUGCAAGUCGAGCGCCCCGCAAGGGGAGCGGCAGACGGGUGAGUAACGCGUGGGAACGUACCCUUUACUACGGAAUAACGCAGGGAAACUUGUGCUAAUACCGUAUGUGCCCUUUGGGGGAAAGAUUUAUCGGUAAAGGAUCGGCCCGCGUUGGAUUAGCUAGUUGGUGGGGUAAAGGCCUACCAAGGCGACGAUCCAUAGCUGGUCUGAGAGGAUGAUCAGCCACAUUGGGACUGAGACACGGCCCAAACUCCUACGGGAGGCAGCAGUGGGGAAUAUUGGACAAUGGGCGCAAGCCUGAUCCAGCCAUGCCGCGUGAGUGAUGAAGGCCUUAGGGUUGUAAAGCUCUUUCACCGGGGAAGAUAAUGACGGUACCCGGAGAAGAAGCCCCGGCUAACUUCGUGCCAGCAGCCGCAGUAA
This 447-nucleotide ribosomal RNA is filed under the name uncultured bacterium. Its description in RNAcentral is "partial 16S ribosomal RNA". It matches the Rfam family "Bacterial small subunit ribosomal RNA", at positions 29 to 523 of the family's 1533-position model. The record is from RNAcentral.